AUGGCAGGGGGCAGGAGCAGGACACUGGGAAGAGCAACAGUGCUUCAAGUGCUGGGGCUGUUGCCAGCAGGAACACAGCAUUUGCUGAAAAAGAAAGGAAAUGGAGCGCUUCUGCAAUGACCACCACCACAUCAGUAAGCCUGCCAGUUCCAUAAGAAGGUCAUUCAAAUUCAGAUUCAAGCAAGCCCAACCCUGUAAGCUCAGGAUGAAUAACAAUAGAAAAAGUUGACUGAGCUCUGUGUGGCUCAGCUGUUUCUUCUGCCAAUAAACAGUUCCAACUGCCUCCAGAUUUGUUGAAGUUGGCAACAUCCAGCCAUGGUGAGCACACAACUGAGGAGAAGACUGAACCAGCCAGCCUGGCAGUAUUAUUACUGAGUGCUGAUAGGAAAUCCUUCUUUCUUCCUGGCAAAGGCCUAACAAUGAUGAGUUACUGCCAGACAACAGCCUUUCAUCCGUUUUUGGAGGAAUAGACAACAGCUCACCUUUGUCUGACUGCUCUGUUUUCUGGCAAGGGAAGACAAUUUAUGGAGGUUGCGACAAUGGAAAGUUCAAAGAGCAGUUUUUCUUCAGCUGGAGAAGAAUGUCUCCUUCAUAAUAUGGCACCCGUACAUCAAUUAAAUGGCUCAGAGGGGACUAAGUGCUGAGGUGAGAAACUGAAUUUCCAUUCUAAGGAUGGAUCAUCUUGGAGAGAAUUGAGGGUUUUUUUGCCCUGUAUUCUCUGCAUAAACAUACUAAGUGAUGAUUGCUUAGAGACGGUGUG
Hemicordylus capensis (graceful crag lizard) is the source of this 760-nucleotide long non-coding RNA. RefSeq lists it as uncharacterized. The record is from RefSeq and is a predicted model, not a curated record. The transcript has 4 exons. NCBI's taxonomy places the organism in Eukaryota, Metazoa, Chordata, Lepidosauria, Squamata, Cordylidae.